UAGACCUUCAGUGUGUGACAGGUUAGUACAGUGGUGAACCUAUAGACCUUCAGUGUGUGACAGGUUAGUACAGUGGUGAACCUAUAGGUCUUCAGUGUGUGACAGGUUAGUACAGUGGUGAACCUAUAGGACUUCAGUGUGUGACAGGUUAGUACAGUGGUGAACCUAUAGACCUUCAGUGUGUGACAGGUCAGUACAGUGGUGAACCUAUAGGACUUCAGUGUGUGACAGGUUGGUAUUUCUGAAAGGACAGCAACUGCAAUAACAUCACACUCAUGUAGGAGGGUGGACUUUUUUAUAAAACACAAAGGGCCGGUGGUGUAGGGAAGGCUAUACACGGGUAUAAACUGUAUAUACACUUUUUUUCAGUGGGCAUUGCGUAUACUGACUUCUUAAUCCCUACUGAUGCGUAUCCUAGCAGUGUAGUGGAGGUAUACGUCUUAUCAAUUACAUAGUACAAUAGAGAAAUCAUGCACAAAGUAGCCCACACAAUCGCAAAGUACAUGAAAUAUAUUCACAUGCGCACAGCACACACAGCCUAGUUUUAGCGGAAUAUUAUCUGCUGGCAGCAAAAGUGUGCAGCUCUCAAGGUGUUUUGGCAUGGAGCAGCUCACAGAACAAUGCCAUCGGUAGCCGGUAGGGUAGGUAAGACGUUUCAACUUUCUACUAGUAAAUGAUAACUAAGGCAACAAUGGGUAUGCAAACCAGGUAUUGAAAAAAGUUUAAUCCACAGUGUUGGUUAGUAGGCUAGACAUGGAUGAGCCUGGGUGGACUAAGGCCCACCCAAUGGGGAGCCAGGCCCUGACAGGCCCACCCAAUCAGAUUGAUGUGGUUGAAGCAUUGUUGUGGACUUAGAACAUCACAUUUUAGUAUAUUUUCAUUUUUUUUUAAAUAGGUGUGAUUUUGAGAGUGAAAAUCUGCUAAAUCUAUGGGAAACUCAUUUAACGUGGGAAACAGGGUUUUUCACACAGGUGCCUUUCCUUCGCUAGGCGUGCCGUUUGGGAACUUUUUUAGCUAAAUGUGAGUAUUCCCACUUCUCCAGGCACCACCACACCACUGCAUAGGGCUGAUGGAAGGACAGCAGUCACACACAGCAUGACGUUAAAGUAUAAGUAGUCAAUAAACUCGGACAUAAUAAAACAUUAGUUCCCCAUCAUAAGAAUACAAAAACACAACCAUUAAGCAUUUCCCAAUCAAAAUUGACAACUAUUACCUCCCAUUGCCAAAAACAUUUCACGUUUAGCACCGUUGACCUAAAGUGUAAAGUGGAACUGGCAGCGUUUUAACUACUUUGCAGAUAUAAAACAAACAGACAAUCAUAAUAUCAGUCAAAAAUAGUUUAUGCUACAAAACCAACUUCAUAUGAUAUUUUUAAAAUAGUUUAAAUUUGACUCAACGUUCCAUGACAUAGAGUAAGGCAUUGUUGGCAGAAUAGAUGGAUGCAGUUCAAUGCAUGAUUAAUAUAAUUCACCAAUACAUUUCUUGGUAGUCCAAAACAUAUUGCUGUCAGGUUGUAAAUCACAGCUGGCCUGGUACAUUGUUCGCUCCAACCCCCGCCCCUUUCCCACCGCACCGCCCCCAAUUCGGGAUGCACUGUUUCAAUUUCAAAGACUCAGUAUUCUGGACAAAAAUGGACGAAUGUAACUCUGUGAAUGUCAAUACAAUCAAACUAGCAAGGGCAAUGGUCACAAGUCAGUCAUUACGUGGCUAAUAGGCUAGCAUAUCUAUGUAUGUAGCAGGCUAAAAACACGGAAGCUAGAUAGCUAGCUGCUAGCGGGAUGUCAUGCCAUUGAAGGAGUGGGUAAGUGACUGACUUUUUCCCCCUCAUAUCGGUGGCUAUACACAGCUAGAGAUGCAGGUGUCAUUUGGUUAGCUAGCAAGAACUUGAAUGAGUGUUACCCAGUUAGCAUAUCUCUUGCGUUCACAAAUUCACUCUGGCUAUCUACUCCAAUAUUAGAGAGCUCUCGCCUGAGUGUGCCAGAGCGCAGAACAACUGAUGAAUUUACGAAUGCGCAACACCCGCUGAAUAUGACCAGUAUCAGUAAAUGUAGACAAAAAAAGUAAGAGUUAGUCAAGAACGCUCUAGAUAAAAUGUAAAAAGCCUAACUAGCUCUGCUACUGUGAGUAAAAUGGUCAGAGUGAGGUGUUCUCUCAUUUGUGUUUGGAAGUAGCUAGCUAUCAAGCUAGCCAACUUUAACCAGUUAGCUUUGGUGCUUGGUUGGGACAAGCAUGCAUUGGCAGACAAGCUGUAGAAGGACGAGGAGGCUACAAUUUUGUGGCUUUUGGUGAAUGCGUUCUAAUGAUCUAAAGUCACGCUGUUGCAACUUCCUGUAAACACACAGUCCAGUUCAAAGUGAAUGAUGGCAGGCCCAUGUGACAAAUGGCUUGUUUGUUUAAAAGGCCUACUGUAGCUCUGAUUGACUAUAGCGCACCGGUCUGUGUAGACUCCGGUCCUGGACAAGACAGAUGUUUUUAUUUACUUUUUUAUUUACUGCAUUGUCCAAAUGCACGGCCACUUUCCCACUCUAUAUUGCUAUAGAAUUUUCAAAAAUGCCUUAGUAUACAUAAUUCCCAAACAUUCUAAUAAUUUAUGAAAAUGUGAUCGCUUGUCAGAAAAUGUUUUUUAAAAAGUGUCAUUCUUCCUGAGGGUGUAUGUAGAUGAACAGAUUUGAAUAAGAUGUCAUGUUGCUAAAAUGCUGUAAGCUCCACUUUAAAUGCAACAAUGUUUCACACACCCAAGUUAUUUUCAAAGAGAUGGCUAACACCACAAACACGCUGCAAUAAAAAACACAGUUCCACUCACCAGAUGAUGAUCAUUUGAAACACAGCUUCUUGUUGACAGUUAUUCUUGAAAAGAGAGAAGCUAACAAAUUAGCAAACUAGCCUCUUUGAUUACACCUGCUGCAGCUGCUGCAAACUAGCCAACAACAAAUGCUAGCUAGACUGUGGGAAAACUACUGCUCGCUAAUGCGCAGUGACCUGUUGGGCCUUCAAGAAGGCAGAAGUUUCCAUACAUUUUGGAAAAGCGGUCCCACCCAUUAAGUCAAAAUGUGAUUGGUUGAUUCCACUGUCACUCCAAUAUUUUGCCCAAAUACAGUUGAAUGGCAGAUGCCUUUAUCUAGCUUCUGAUGGACUUGCCAAUGGCUGACUUAUCCAGCUAAAUUUAUCUCCCCAGAGACCAGCAAAGAAAAUCCUGUUUGGAUCUUUUUUUCUCUUCAGUGUAAACCCUUUCCUUCAGAACAAAUCAGAACAUCAUUGAAAAUAAUAAUAUAAUUAUCAUUAUUAUUAUAUUAUUAUAAUCAUUAUUUUAUAAAUCCUUAGCCCUUGUCUAAAGGCUUAGAAGGCCCAUUGUUCCCCACUGUGUUUGGGUUAGUAAUAUUUGUAGAGCGGCUCUAUUUUCCUCAUCAUGCAUUUCUUCACUAUUCUGAAUGUCUAAAGAAUCCAAAUGUUGUUCUGAAAUAUGAACACAGAAAUACUGGACAUUUUGAACUCUUGUUAUUGUGGUGAUUUGACAAAAGUACAAUCAUGGUCUUGAAUUGGACUCGCAUUUUACUGGUCUCGGUCUUGACUCGGUCUCGGAAACCUCUUGUCACCCUCCCGGUCUCGGACACCCCCCCUUGACUCAGUGACUCGGAUUCGAUUUAUUUGCAUGAGCGAUAAACGGGAUUUCCUGCCGCUAAACUCCGCUCACAUACUCUGAAUGAGGGUUAUGGUUAGGUUAGGGGUUAGGGAAAAUAGGAUUUUGAUUUGGAAUACAUUUUUACUCCCCAAACGUCCUGAAAAGUGUGUGGUGUGGGUGUGUGUGUACAUGGUUUCCAACCUUAUCAGGAUCAUAAUGUCCUAACAAUUCACCAGAAUGGCCUGAUAAGGUAGGAAAACAAGGACAUUUCUGAAGAGUCUGGACUUUGUUAAAUGUCCUGAAUUUGCUAAAAUGCUAUUUUAGGCUUAAGGGUUAGGUUUACGUUUUGGGGUUAGGAUUUUGUGUGUGCCUGUGUGUGUGUGUUUUUGGUUUUACUAUUCUUGUGGGGACCAGAAGUCCUCACAAGGACAGUAAAACAAGGAACAUUCAGACAAGUGGAAACAUUUAGCCGAUCCAUACAAGGAAAAAGGCAUUUUCAGGGGUUAGGUUUGGGUUUAGGAUUACAUUUAGGGUUAAGGUUCAGGUUAGGUUUAAGGUUUAGGAUUACAUUUAGGAUUAGGGUUUAGUUUCAGGUUAGGUUUAAGGUUUAGGAUUACAUUUAGGGUUAGGGUUCAGGUUCAGGUUAGGUUUAGGAUUACAUUUAGGGUUAGGGUUCAGGUUAAGGUUAGGUUUAAGGUUUAGGAUUACAUUUAGGGUUAGGGUUCAGGUUAAGGUUAGGUUUAAGGUUUAGGAUUACAUUUAGGGUUAGGGUUCAGGUUCAGGUUAGGUUUAAGGUUUAGGAUUACAUUUAGGGUUAGGGUUCAGGUUAAGGUUAGGUUUAAGGUUUAGGAUUACAUUUAGGGUUAGGGUUCAGGUUCAGGUUAGGUUUAAGAGGGUUUCUGUUUGUGCUGGUAUCAAACCUUGGGUUGCACAGGCUUAUUGCAACUUUCUGCUCUUUCUGUAUAUUGCAAAUCAGUGUUAAGGUUAGGGUUAGGGUUAGGAGUUAGGGGAAAUAGGAUUUUGAGUGGGAAUCAAUGGUUUGGUCCCCACAAGCAUAGUAAAAUAAAUAGGGAGGGCUACUGUGUGCGUGGGCAGGGCUCUGUGCAUGUGUGUGUGCGUGUGUGUGCGCAUGACCCCAUUGCUCUCCCCUGUAUGUGUAUGUGUGACAUUAGCAUGAGCAAUAAGGUUUGAGUCCUCGGUGUGUGUGCUGUAUAUAUUGGUGAUCUAGCAUAUCACACUCGCCCUUUCUCUCAGAGCUGACUUACUUAUGUACCUACUUGUAUGAAAGAGAUGAUUGUUCCUCUCCUGUCCGUCCUGUCCUCUCUAACCGAAUGGCCAUUGUGAAUACUGAAUACCUUUGAUGCCAUUUUGAAACUAUCCUCCUCUCUCCACCAGAGUUGACUACUUCAUUUGUCGUGGUUUAUCGUUCAAAGCAGCACCCACAUGAUGCCUGACCUUGAAAUGGGUUUAUUGUUACUUUUAUUGAGUGUUUAUUGAGGUUUUUAUAGAUACAUUGAUGAAUUUAUCCAAACUCCAAUGUUGUGUUUUGUCUUGUUUUAUGCAGCGUGGACAUGCUAAAGCAGAUUGACUGAGGGGAGAAGAAGAGGUCUUAUAUGAACACACUGAUAUUUGAGUCCAUUCCAUUUUGAUACAAAGAUGAUUUUCUUCUGAAUAUGGGGAUAAAACUGUGAUUAGACUUUUAUUUUGAAGGUCUCUGUUCAUUUGAAGUGCAUGUUGGUUUGCUACAGACAGUAUGACGUUUGUUUUGUUUCCUGAUUUGUACCACACAAGCCUCCAUACUUUACCAACAAAUGGGGGUUUGUUAUGGAAAAUGAAAUUCAAAGUGUAAAGGAAACUCCUGUACCAGUCUACCAAACAUGAUUGACUGAAAGUGUUUAUUGAGCUGUUGGGGUUUGACGCUCUAUGAUAAUUCUGUCUUGUCGUGACUGAUAACUCAGCUAUCACCGUAGCUAGAACACUCUCAGCGCUUGGCGGGGAUGGAAUCCUGUAACCAUUCCAAAUCAGUAUAACGAAAUCAGUGCAAAUGCAUUGAAUGACACUUUAAUAUCCAGCGAGCUGAUUUAACGAUAUUCUAUUUCUCAGCUGUGAGAUCUCGGGAGGUUUAAUCGAGAACUUGUCGUUUUCCUAAUGACGAUGGAUAUUUUUCUUUACGCUUUUACGUUUUCCAAGAUGGCUGACGUCGGUGAACUGAAUGUGGCUCUUGAGACUGCUGAAGCGAAUGCCACACCCCCUGCUCCAACCCCCGCCCCUUUCCCACCGUCCCGCCCCAAACCUGUCCACUCCACCAUCACUGCUUGACUAUGAUGUGACAUAUGCAACAAUUAUUUUUUUGUUCGUAAAGAUAUUCUUUGUAUCAGAGGGAGAGAGUGUGGGAGGGGGGCAAUAGGGAAACGCAAAUACAUAUUUUUUAAAAUAUCAAAUGAUGUUGAUAAAAUUAUAACUGUCUUUUUUUUCAUGUAAAAAGAAAAAAAGAAUGACAACUGUUGCUAGUGCACAUGUGCUGUAAAUUGUUCUUUGGUGUAGUAAAAAUCAUCAUGGUUUAGUCGUUUUUAAAAAUCAUUUACACCAACGGUUCUAGUGUCUUAUUUUAGUUAGCCUUCUGCUCCACCGCAUUUUAAGAACCAGCUUAAUAUUUUUCUAAAGGGAUUCUUUGAAAAAAUGCAUGCGUUUGCUGGAGAACUUUGAGUUUAGUGUUGCACAAGGACAGGCGUUGUCUCUGCCUGCAUCCCAAAUGGCACCCUAUUCCCUAUAUAGUGCACUACUUUUGACCAGGGCACACAAGGCCAUACGGCUCUGGUCAAAAGUAGUGCACUAUAUAGGGAGUAGGUUAUCAUUUGGGACACAGCCUCUGUCUUUCAGUUUCCAUGGCUAAGUGAAAAACUUUUGGGGUGAAGGAGUGUACUUAGGUCUUGUACAUGAGAUUAUGUAAAUUGAGGAAAUUAAAAUGAUAAUUAUAUGACGAUUACUUUUGAUCUGUUACAGCUCGUGUAUUUGAAUUAUUGAAAAGAUAUUAAAAAAAUAAAAUGCAAUUGUUUAGUCCGGUGCAGUGUCUAUGAGUAAAUAGAAUAAAUCAUUGUCCUA
Oncorhynchus tshawytscha (Chinook salmon) is the source of this 6721-nucleotide long non-coding RNA. The record is from Ensembl. NCBI's taxonomy places the organism in Eukaryota, Metazoa, Chordata, Actinopteri, Salmoniformes, Salmonidae.